UAGCUAUGUGUGGCAGGGAUAAACGCUGAAAGCAUCUAAGCGUGAAGCCCCCCUCAAGAUGAGAUUUCCCAUUUCUUUAGAAAGUAAGAUCCCUGAAAGAAGAUCAGGUAGAUAGGUUUGGAGUGGAAGUAUGGCGACAUAUGGAGCGGACAAAUACUAAUCGAUCGAGGACUUAACCAAU
RNAcentral lists this ribosomal RNA (181 nucleotides) under Listeria booriae. Its description in RNAcentral is "partial 23S ribosomal RNA". It matches the Rfam family "Bacterial large subunit ribosomal RNA", at positions 2746 to 2925 of the family's 2925-position model. Lineage: Bacteria; Bacillati; Bacillota; Bacilli; Caryophanales; Listeriaceae. The record is from RNAcentral.